GACGAACGCUGGCGGCGUGCUUAACACAUGCAAGUCGAACGGAAAGGCCCUGCUUUCGUGGGGUGCUCGAGUGGCGAACGGGUGAGUAACACGUGAGUAACCUGCCCUUGACUUUGGGAUAACUUCAGGAAACUGGGGCUAAUACCGGAUAGGAGCUCCUGCUGCAUGGUGGGGGUUGGAAAGUUUCGGCGGUUGGGGAUGGACUCGCGGCUUAUCAGCUUGUUGGUGGGGUAGUGGCUUACCAAGGCGUUGACGGGUAGCCGGCCUGAGAGGGUGACCGGCCACAUUGGGACUGAGAUACGGCCCAGACUCCUACGGGAGGCAGCAGUGGGGAAUAUUGCACAAUGGGCGGAAGCCUGAUGCAGCAACGCCGCGUGCGGGAUGACGGCCUUCGGGUUGUAAACCGCUUUCGCCUGUGACGAAGCGUGAGUGACGGUAAUGGGUAAAGAAGCACCGGCUAACUACGUG
Molecule: ribosomal RNA, 468 nt
Filed under: uncultured bacterium
Lineage: Bacteria
Description: partial 16S ribosomal RNA
Rfam family: Bacterial small subunit ribosomal RNA
Source: RNAcentral